RNAcentral lists this ribosomal RNA (222 nucleotides) under uncultured bacterium. RNAcentral describes it as "partial 16S ribosomal RNA". It matches the Rfam family "Bacterial small subunit ribosomal RNA", at positions 109 to 334 of the family's 1533-position model. The record is from RNAcentral.
AGUAAUGUAUGGGGAUCUGCCUGAUGGCGGGGGAUAACUACUGGAAACGGUAGCUAAUACCGCAUAAUGUCUACGGACCAAAGCGGGGGACCUCCGGGCCUCGCGCCAUCAGAUGAACCCAUAUGGGAUUAGCUAGUAGGUGAGGUAACGGCUUACCUAGGCGACGAUCCCUAGCUGGCCUGAGAGGAUGAUCAGCCACACUGGGACUGAGACACGGCCCAG